UACGUAGGGACCGAGCGUUGUCCGGAUUCAUUGGGCGUAAAGAGCUCGUAGGCGGCCACUCAAGUCGAAUGUGAAAUCUCGAGGCUUAACCUCGAGCCUGCAUUCGAUACUGGGUGGCUAGAGUCUGGUAGGGGGAUCUGGAAUUCCUGGUGUAGCGGUGGAAUGCGCAGAUAUCAGGAGGAACACCGGUGGCGAAGGCGGGAUCCUGGGCCAGUACUGACGCUGAGGAGCGAAAGCGUGGGGAGCAAACAG
Molecule: ribosomal RNA, 252 nt
Filed under: uncultured bacterium
Lineage: Bacteria
Description: partial 16S ribosomal RNA
Rfam family: Bacterial small subunit ribosomal RNA
Source: RNAcentral